GGGGGUGAACGGUCUCGACUCCGAGAGUUGAGCCAGGGGAAGCGGGCCGAGGAAGCCGGGAUGAUCUCGUAAACCACAAAAACCCGUGCAACCAAUUAGACGCAGAUAAAACUUCGUCUGAUUACAAACUCGCUGCCUAAGCGAGCUCUGUAAUCCGUUGUCCUGAGUGUGCUCUCGGCUCAGGGUUCAACGUCGUAAGAGGGCUUACUGGUCGAUAGCGUUGCGGCUAUCGAUUGGGACAUCUAACGCAACUGCGUUCGUCGGUUACAUGUGUGCGUGAGAACCGGGACAGAGAAAACGUUAAGCACACUACGCCCGUAGAAGCCCUGUAUCAGUCUCGAAGGACCCGGGUUCGAU
RNAcentral lists this transfer-messenger RNA (357 nucleotides) under Actinomycetota bacterium. RNAcentral describes it as "Actinobacteria bacterium partial transfer-messenger RNA". It matches the Rfam family "transfer-messenger RNA". Rfam says of the family: Bacterial tmRNA, also known as 10Sa RNA or SsrA, is named for its dual tRNA and mRNA-like properties. Its role is to liberate the mRNA from a stalled ribosome. Lineage: Bacteria; Bacillati; Actinomycetota. The record is from RNAcentral.